RNAcentral lists this long non-coding RNA (207 nucleotides) under Elaeis guineensis (African oil palm). Its description in RNAcentral is "long non-coding RNA (EGUI_LNC040555)". The record is from RNAcentral. Lineage: Eukaryota; Viridiplantae; Streptophyta; Magnoliopsida; Arecales; Arecaceae.
GUGGUACCUUUUUGGUUGCUAAUUUCUAGACCUUGGUUGCUACAAAAUCAAAGAAAAAAGAUCAAAAAAGAAAAAAAAAGAUCAAAAAAAGGAUCAACGAGUUGAUCACGAUCCAGACUUCGUUCAGAUUUAUAGAAUAAUCAUUCUUAGAGAAGAAAGAUCAAUACUAUAGAGGGCUGUUCUAGAUUGAUCCUGAGUGGAUAUCCA